GCAUAAAAAAUUCACUAGUUUUGUGAUUUUUGCAAAACUGGAGUGCCUUUUUCGAUUUUGUAGAUUCGGACCAAAUUUUUUGCCAUCUGACAAAAAUAUCUUUUGUCUCUCUCCGCCUCAGUCGUAUUCGCUCAGAUGCGUAUACUGUAUUGUACGACGGCUGUCGGCGCAUUAAAUGUGCCCGCGCCUGCAUUACGCAACCUCUUAGUUCAGAAUACAAACCGAAUUGGCCCUGCUAUUUCGCCAGCCCUCAUAUUUGUUAUUCGGCUUUUUAAAAAUAAGCUAAAUUGGAAAUAAUACACGGCCGGCAACGGGCAUAAUGGUGCAACGCGAAGAGAGAUAAUACAACAAUCCUUCUAACAGUGCAACAUGCGACACGUACCAAUGCAACCUCCGCUGCUCAUAAUGCAACGCUGUCAGUCAAUCUUUUUCCUUACCACCCUCUCCCCCGUUAGUUAGUCUUCUUCCUAAACCAUAAAGCGGUCCUUUCACUGGCGUCCCGUGCUGCUUACCCUAUUUGUAAACCCCUCGCCCUCCUCCAUACAAGCCUGCCAGUUUAUUCCAGCACUCUCCGCCACAUUCGACAUUUACAGAAGAGAAGUAGAAGAAGCGUGGAGAAAGGAGCUGGCUUUAGGGUUAGGAAGUGGAGGAGGAGGACAAGUCGUUUAUUUACGAAGAGAUACCACACGGCCAAACAAUUAGUGCAAACUAUUAUCAUAUCUAAAAAAGUGCAAACUGUUAUCUGUAUUUUGUGUUGCCGCGAAUAUAGUAGUUUAAAAGAGGCUGUAAAUGGUAUAACAUUAACCUAUUUAGUGUAAUGUUUUGAUGAAAAUAAUGCCGUGACUCUAUAACCAGUGCAAAUGCACUCUUCUCUUAGUGUUUUUCUCCUCGGCGUAUAUUCUCAUCAACUUCACCAAGUGUUGCUUGGAUAGAACCUAUGUAAAUUUUCUUAGUCCAUCUUAUCUAUUCAAAUACUAUUCUUCUUAUUUCCGAAAACAACCUAAUUUUCGUCCAAACAUAAAAUUAGUCUAAUUCUUGCUUAUAUUUGUAUUUGUACAUAGAGAUGUCAACGGGUCGGAUUCGGGGCGGAUUUGCAAAAACCCAAACCCGAACCCGACUCCAAACCCGAAUCCGAACCCGACGGAUUUUAAAAUUCCAUAUCCAAACCCGAACCUGACCAAAAAUCCGAAAUCCGAACCCGAACCCUAACCCGAAAAUUUGAACUCGAAACCAUUAUUUUUUUUUUCAAUAUUUCAAAAUAUAUUAUAUUAAAUCUAAAUUUUUAAAAUACAAAUUCAAAUAUAACACCAAAUAUAUAUAUAUAUAUAUAUAUAAAGUACAAAAUAAAUUCGGGUUCAGGUCGGGUUCGAGUUUGGGUCGGGUACAAUCAAAAUCCAUAUCCAAAUCUAUAUCCGUCAAGUUUCUAUUUUUGACAUCCAUAUCCGAAUCCAUAUCCAUUUAGUAUCAGAUAUAUCCGUUUCAUUCGGGUUCAGGUUCGGAUAAAAUUUCGGAUAUCCAUACCCAUUGACACCCCUACUUGUACAUAAAAUAAGCAGUUCUUAUUUAUGUCCAAAUCAAACAAAGCCUAUAGCAUCACUUGAGAGCAGGGAGAGUGGGCGUGUUUGGUUCGAAGUCGAAGUCGGAAUCGGAAUCGGAAUCAAAAUAAGCUGGAAUCGGAAUCGGAAUGACUCAUUAUCUAAUUCUGUUUGGUUCAUCACCUGAAUCGGAAUCGGAAUAAAUCAUUCCCAUUAUCAGUGUUUGGUUCAGGUGGAUAUAAAAAACGUAAUCAAAUUAAUAAACUAACAUUAUCUUUAUAAUAUAUUAAUUUAAAUUCAAAUUAAAAAUUAAAUAUUAAAAAUUUACAUCAAAAUUUUGAAAUAAUGUCAAAAUUUUAAAUCUAUUUUUUUAAAAAAAAUAAACUUUGAAGUUGAGUAGAUAAUUCAAAAUAUGAAACUAAAUUUUAAUUUAUUCAAAUUCAAACUUAAAAUUACAAUUUAAAUUUUAAUUUGAAUCCAUAAAUUUAAUUUAAGUUUGAAAUAAAAUUUGAAUAAAACUUUAUAUAAAUUAAAAUUUAAUUUAAAUUCAAAUUCAUAAGUUAGAUUCGAAAUACUUGAUUAAAUUUUAAUUUUUAAUUUAGGUUUAAAUUAAAAUUUAAAAUUAUAUAUUUAAUUUUUAAAUUUUAACUCAUAUUUUAAUUAAAAAAUUAAAAAAAUAAAUUUAAUCCGAAUAAAUAUCCAUUCCGUCCGGAUUCAACUUUCAAUCCGGCCUCCUAGGCCGGAUUGAAAAAGAGGUGAUUGGGGGAUUCCCAUUCCACUCGGGAAUCGGAAUUGGAAUGGGACUCCCGCGUACCAAACACCCACAAACGAAUUUAUCCAUUCCGAUUCCGAUUCCAGGGUGAAAAAAAAGCGAACCAAACACGCCCAGUGUGUGUGUGUCAGAGAUGGGGCCCACAACGUUUGGAUUAAAAUAACUGAGCCCUUAGAAAAAGCCUAGAAUGUACCAGUUUAUAUUACUGAUGUGACGUCCUCAGUCAAUCAGAAUAUUUUCUUUGGAUUUUCCUAUCCCAUCAUGAUUAUUAGAAAAAUAUUUUUGACAUAUUUUUCUCUUAAAAAGUGAAAUAUAAUUGACUGAUUAUUUAUAAUGUGAUGUAAGUGUGACAUACUAGUC
This 2667-nucleotide long non-coding RNA is filed under the name Ananas comosus (pineapple). RNAcentral's name for it is "long non-coding RNA (ACOM_LNC019284)". Lineage: Eukaryota; Viridiplantae; Streptophyta; Magnoliopsida; Poales; Bromeliaceae. The record is from RNAcentral.